Molecule: ribosomal RNA, 253 nt
Filed under: uncultured bacterium
Lineage: Bacteria
Description: partial 16S ribosomal RNA
Rfam family: Bacterial small subunit ribosomal RNA
Source: RNAcentral
UACGUAGGGGGCAAGCGUUGUCCGGAUUUAUUGGGCGUAAAGAGCGUGUAGGCGGCCAGGUAGGUCCGUUGUGAAAACUGGAGGCUUAACCUCCAGCUGUCGAUGGAAACCAUCUGGCUAGAGUCCGGAAGAGGAGAGUGGAAUUCCUGGUGUAGCGGUGAAAUGCGUAGAUAUGCGGAGGAACACCGAUGGCGAAGGCAGUCCCCUGGGCCUGCACUGACGCUCAUGCACGAAAGCGUGGGGAGCAAACAGG